Molecule: transfer RNA, 83 nt
Filed under: Candidatus Taylorbacteria bacterium RIFCSPHIGHO2_01_FULL_43_47
Lineage: Bacteria; Candidatus Tayloriibacteriota
Also listed under: 1 other name
Description: tRNA-Leu
Rfam family: tRNA
About the family: Transfer RNA (tRNA) molecules are approximately 80 nucleotides in length. Their secondary structure includes four short double-helical elements and three loops (D, anti-codon, and T loops).
Source: RNAcentral
GCUGUGGUGGCGGAAUUGGUAUACGCGCUGCGUUCAGGGCGCAGUUCCCUCAGGGAUUGGGAGUUCAAAUCUCCCCCACAGCA